CUUGAACUCCUAUAAGAGGUCCAGCCUGCCCAGUGACUUUGUUCAACGGCCGCGGUAUCCUAACCGUGCGAAGGUAGCGUAAUCACUUGUCUUUUAAAUGGGGACUUGUAUGAAUGGCAUCACGAGGGUUAUACUGUCUCCUUUUUCUAAUCAGUGAAACUAAUCUCCCCGUGAAGAAGCGGGGAUAAUUUUAUAAGACGAGAAGACCCUAUGGAGCUUUAAACUUAAUAACAAAUACUAAUUCCAUUUUAACUUCCAGAACACUUACUUCAACUUUAGUAUUAUGAUUAUUAGUUUUAGGUUGGGGUGACCGCGGAGUAAAAAUUAACCUCCACAUUGAACAGGACCGACCCUUGAGCCAAGAGCUACAACCCUAAGCACCAACAAAUUGACAUUAAUUGACCCAAUAUUUUGAUCAACGAAC
Molecule: ribosomal RNA, 424 nt
Filed under: Osteocephalus vilarsi
Lineage: Eukaryota; Metazoa; Chordata; Amphibia; Anura; Hylidae
Description: partial large subunit ribosomal RNA
Rfam family: Bacterial large subunit ribosomal RNA
Source: RNAcentral